Eupeodes corollae is the source of this 1568-nucleotide long non-coding RNA. RefSeq lists it as uncharacterized. NCBI's taxonomy places the organism in Eukaryota, Metazoa, Arthropoda, Insecta, Diptera, Syrphidae. The record is from RefSeq and is a predicted model, not a curated record. The transcript is spliced from 2 exons.
UUUUAUCAAUUUUUUGAAACGUAUUAAAAGUUUAAAAAAAGCCUUGCGUUAUUUGACUUUUAGUUUUCGAUUGGUUUGUAUGCAAAUCAAAUGUAUAUGAAACGGGAUUUCAGUCUAGUCUUGUAUGCAUAUUGAAUAUUACCGCACGGAAAAGCGAGGUAAAAUAUACACGAAGCUCCACUAUAUAAAAAUGAUUUACAAAUUCUUAGAACCAAAGAAGACUAAAAAAUCGCUAUCAAAUGAAAAUCCAAAAUCCUGUAAACAGAAUUUAAGUAAGUUUAUGCAAUAUACAUGUGGGAUUGGCCAAACCUUGAUACAUCACCCUAUUCCAACAGACGAACAAGACAGAACCGACCACUUAACAAACGGACAGACAUAACAAAAGAGAACGAGCGUCCCCUUUCAUUUUCUUUUCCAUACCCACAUUAAAUAGUUAUUCAGUCUUACGUUGUCCUUAUGCGCAGAGAGUUUAGUUGGCCGGGCGUUACGCAUCGUUUCCAUUUAUUUUUAAUUAUAAUUAUAAACUAAAUACUUAUCAAUAAACUUUACACAAAAAGUAACUUUGGUGUCGCCUAUUUACUUGUUCGAAAAAUUAUCCCUAGACAAAACCCUACAUACAUACAUAGUAGUUUUAAUGGACGAGCGUUCAAUCAUUUUCUUUAGUUCCAGAGCCUGAUGCACAAACUUGUAUAAAAAGUUUAAAUUUUGACAACUUGUCAGCUGAAGAGUUUAAUAGUUUUUGGGAUUCAUGCACGGAGUGCCGACUUCUGGAGAUAAGAAAAUCUUCAACGAAGGAGGCGAUUUUCAAAACAUGGCCGCAGUACAAGAAUUUGAAUGGUUAUCGUUUGGUAAGGUCUUAAUCUUCAAAAGUUUUGUUUAUUAAGUAACUCUUUUUUUUAAUAGAUUGACAGAGACUUUAAAUUGGGAAGAACUGGGAAACCAACUUUAAAGUAAUAAAACAGUUUCUCAUUCAAAAUAUAAAAGACAAGAAAACUACAGAGCUGCUUUCUCAAAUCGCAGAAUGCGAUGCGAACAAAGAAGAUGCGGUACUCACCCUACUGAAAAGUGAACACUGCUAUCUCAUUCCAAGGAGACCAGUUGUAUAAAAACCAACAUCAAAGCAGAAAUCGGUUCAAAGGUUUACGAUAAAAGACUCCCAACAUGCUUUCAUUUUCGAAGGAGAAAGUGUUCAGCAAUUUGAAGACCAUUUGGAUUUUUUAAAAUCCCAACAUAACAACGUGCAACCCUUCAUUUUAUCCUUGCAAAAGAACGAUGAUCCAGAGUAUUGCGUAUUACGUGUAUCUGGACGGCAGUAGAUUGUUGUAAAGUGCGUACUUCACAACAUUCCCUUAUCAUCCUUUCUUAUCCCAUUACAAUUCAACCCAUUGCCACUUCAAAUUCCCACAGUUCAUCAUUUCCAUCUAAUUACCUACAAAAAUUACAUUCAACUCCAAUGUUGUCAACCACGCGAUCAACGAUCGCUCCACUAAAACCAAACCCAUUAGGAAAAAAAGAAAACUGUGGGGGAGCUAGGAUAAGUAGUCCCUACUCGAACUCUGGGCUGAAAA